CUUUCUUGUUACACACAGGCAGCACACCAUAUGAAUCAAAAGUUAAUCACGUGCUUCUUGCCCCUCUCUCUCUCUCCCUCUCUUCACAUGUACUCUCGUGGAUUUAGUCAGAUUUGAUUUAUUCUUGUUUCCUUUCCAGAUUUAAUUUCAUCCUUGUUUCCAAGAUCUUCCUAUUCAUAAUCUAUUAAAUAAUGACUUGUACAUACGUAUUUUAUCAUGUCUACUAAUAAUCUCAUCACAUUGCAGUUCAUACAUCAGUUUAUUUUAUCCUGUUUCCUUCAACUAUGUAUUUAGGCUGUUCAUUUUCCCUUUUUCAGAUGUAUGUCAUGUAUGUGUAGCCAUGGUUCUGAAACACCCCCAUUCCUUCUCUUCCUACCAAUUUUCAUUGAUUCAGUUAUUUGACUAAAUGAUAAUAUAUGCCCCAGGGUUAAUUAGUACCUAAAAUGCUACCUUUGGUUUGUGAAAAAGAUCUAGAGUGGCUUAUGCAGCUCCUGUUAUGUUUCAUUGAUUCAGUCAUGUAGUAGGAUAGUUCCACUGGAUUUUACUAAAUGGUUUGUAGCUUUACUUAGUGAAAAUGCCUCAAUUGGUUUCCGCAACAUUGCUUGUCUGUUGGCAGCUGGAGCAUACUUGGUACAUGAGCCUUGCCGUGAGUGGUGGUGCAACGGUGACCUUGACGAGCAGGGCAAUGGCCAGACACGAGUAAGACACCAAAGAUGACUGGAAGCACUCAAAAAUGUUUACCACGCUGGAGCUAUGUCAGGUUGUACGAGGGCAGUUAAUGAAUAUACUUGCGACCCUUUUACUCUCAGACUCUCCUCCUUUUCUCGCUGCUGAACCCCUGCCAUCAUCAUGUCCAGACUGGCUGUCUCCAUGGUUGUGGCGCCAAGGUCACCGCAUCUUACAUCCUGAUGCAUUUUCAAGAAGACAUUAUUUGAUGUUAGAUGGCCAUUAUGUUCGCUUCAUAUGGACAGAGGACUAAUGGUACUCUUCCAUGAAGAGAAGCAAGUGGAUCAGUAUGUAGUAGCAGGUAUCAAUGUUUUCUCAUACUGAUGAUUCUGAAGUAAUUAGAUUGAGAAAAUUGCUUUAUUCCCCAAUUUCUCUCUGAAACCUUUGCCUUGUCCAUAGUCAUACCUAAAUGAGUUACUUUAUGUCCUAUAGCUCUAUUACUUUUUUCCCUAGAACCUGUCUCUUUAGUCUCCUUUACAAUACCAUGAUCAGGAGGCAAGAAAUAUGUGUGAAUGGAAUAAGAACUGUAUAUAGUUAUUGAUAAGCAUCUUCCAGUAUCUAACAUAUAAAGCCUCCUAGAGCACCCGCCAUUCAGGAGGCCUUCCCGUGCGCAUCAUUCCUGUCCGUUCGAUCUCCUUUGACUUUGGCUCCUGGUCGUUCGAUCAUUUGACUGGUGGUAAUUUUUGGUCACUGUGUAAUUAAUUUCUUGGCCUAUGACUGGUGGGCUCAGCACUCACAUGGAUUGGCUGGGUCAGUUGUUCCCUUGUCUGCGAGGGAUUAGGCAGCCACUCCGCGCCCGCCCCGUGCUCGACGUGCACAUCCUGAGCCCCGCGCCCCCUUGGCUCUCUCCUCUCCCUCCUUGUCGCCAACCCUAAACAUUUUCCCUCUCCACCCUACAGCCGCCUCCCCUAGCUCCUCGUCCCCUUCACUCAGUCCAUCCCUCAUCAUCUCGGAUCCAGCGGAUCUGAGGCGUGCGGGUGCGGAGGCGAGUUUCUCCGGCGGCGGCGGCGGCGGUCACCUGCAGGCAAAGGGCGGUGGCCGCACUCGAUUUGAUCUGCAGGAAAGAUAGAACAUGAGGAGAAAGAAGGAAGGAAAGGAGGAACGCCACCAUGGGCGAGGAGGGGCAACAUGGUCUUCGUGGUGGGAAUGGAGGAGAAGAGGAGGAUGGAGGUGGGUGGUGGGAGCAGAGUACCAGGAGUUCCAGGUCCAGGUGACGCUCGUGGAGUGGAGAAGCUCGUCUCCAGCAUCACCAUCCCCAAUCUAGCUCUGAGAUAGAAAAGAAGAGAAAUAAUCUUGUGGAAUUUCUUAUCUGAGAUAGAAAAGAAGAGAAAGAUCUUGUGGAAGAGCUUGACGAAAAAGAAAGGGAUCUGAGAUAGAAAAGAAGAGAAAUAAUCUUGUGGAAUUUCAUAUCUGAGAAAAGAAGAGAAAGAUUCUUGUGGAAGAGCAGCUUGACAAAAAAGAAAGGGGUGAAUCAUCUCUUUCUCCCAUUCAUGUUUGUUUCUGCAUUUUCAUUUUUAUGUUAUAUAUGGUUUGCUCAAAUCCUAUUUAUAUUCAACUUCUUCGAACCAUCUAUUUUUCUUGCACUAGAAUAUUGCAAAGGGAAAAUUUAUUUACAAAGCUUGUCAUUUUGAUCUUGUGUAGGCGGCACAACUGUACACCACCAUGAACAGGGGCAACACUCACAUUUACCCUCCAAAAUUCAACAUUUUCAUAUUUUGAGGAGCUUCAGUACGUUUGCUCACCGAUGAACUAGAAGUUGUUUUGUGUACUGCAUGAUUGAGGAAGUGCUAUUGCAGAUCAAAGUUGGUAGAAGCAUCUGCUGGGAAUCAAGUGUUACAUGGCUGUGGGUGACAAGGUUAGUGGUUUAGGAGUUCCUGCCAACACUGGCUUUUGGAAUUUAUCCUCGCUUCAUCAGUUGGGAUUUCUGUACAAAACUAAGAUAAUUUAUUUUGGUGCUUGCGAUGAG
This is a long non-coding RNA of Triticum dicoccoides, 2692 nucleotides long. RefSeq lists it as uncharacterized. Lineage: Eukaryota; Viridiplantae; Streptophyta; Magnoliopsida; Poales; Poaceae. The transcript has 9 exons. The record is from RefSeq and is a predicted model, not a curated record.